RNAcentral lists this unclassified non-coding RNA (679 nucleotides) under Hevea brasiliensis (rubber tree). The record is from RNAcentral. Lineage: Eukaryota; Viridiplantae; Streptophyta; Magnoliopsida; Malpighiales; Euphorbiaceae.
ACCAGCUCGUGCCUCUUUUGGAUCGGCAAGCAUGCCAACCAUGCAAGCAUCAAUUGCAUCCUGAUUUUCAACUCUAGAGGCCCUUGCGGCAAGGAGGAGCACAUAUUCUUUAUCUACUCCCUUAGUAAACACUUCAACCAAGCUUCUGUCGACACUCAACUUGUUAAGAGUCAAGGUACCUGUCUUGUCACUGCACAACACAUCCAUUCCAGCCAUUUCUUCAAUAGCAGUCAUUCUCUUGGUGAUGGCACCCUGCUGGGAGAGCCUAUGGGAUCCAAUAGCCAUAGUGACUGACAACACAGUAGGCAUAGCAAUGGGAAUACCACCAAUAAGGAGCACCAAGAGAUUGUCAAUUCCAUCCCUGUACUUCCUGUGCUGGAUUGGAUACAUGACAAUAAUCUCAACCAGCAUACCAAUAGCAAUGGAACAGAUACAGAAGUUUCCUAUGGCUGUUAACACUUUCUGGAAAUGACCAACAUUGUUUGUACUGUCAACAAGGUGUGCUGCCUUGCCAAAGAAAGUGUGAACUCCAGUGGCAAUGACUACAGCUUCAAGCUCACCUUGUUUGCAGGUUGAUCCAGAGAAAACUUCAUCUCCAGGAUUCUUUGUCACAGGAAGAGAUUCUCCUGUAAGGGCAGAUUGAUCAAUCUUUAAAGGAUCACCUUCAAGAAGACGAGCA